GAUGAAGAACGUAGCGAAAUGCGAUAACUAAUGUGAAUUGCAGAAUUCCGUGAAUCAUCGAGUCUUUGAACGCACAUUGCGCCCCCUGGUAUUCCGGGGGGCAUGCCUGUCCGAGCGUCAUUGCUGCCCAUCAAGCACGGCUUGUGUGUUGGGUCCUCGUCCCCCCCGGGGGACGUGCCCGAAAGGCAGCGGCGGCACCGCGUCCGGUCCUCGAGCGUAUGGGGCUUUGUCACCCGCUCUGCAGGCCCGGCCGGCGCUGGCCGACGCGAAAGCAACCAUUUUAUCUCCAGGUUGACCUCGGAUCAGGUAGGGAUACCCGCUGAACUUAAGCAUAUCAAUAAGCGGAGGA
RNAcentral lists this unclassified non-coding RNA (349 nucleotides) under soil metagenome. Its description in RNAcentral is "partial contains 5.8S ribosomal RNA, internal transcribed spacer 2, and large subunit ribosomal RNA". The stretch from base 1 to 120 matches the Rfam family "5.8S ribosomal RNA", at positions 35 to 154 of the family's 154-position model. The record is from RNAcentral.